GAUGAACGCUGGCGGCGUGCUUAACACAUGCAAGUCGAACGGGGAACAUUUUAUGGAAGCUUCGGUGGAAAUAGCUUGUUCCUAGUGGCGGACGGGUGAGUAACGCGUGGGUAACCUGCCUCACACUGGGGGAUAACAGUCAGAAAUGACUGCUAAUACCGCAUAAGCGCACGGGAUUGCAUGAUCCAGUGUGAAAAACUCCGGUGGUGUGAGAUGGACCCGCGUUGGAUUAGCCAGUUGGCAGGGUAACGGCCUACCAAAGCGACGAUCCAUAGCCGGCCUGAGAGGGUGGACGGCCACAUUGGGACUGAGACACGGCCCAGACUCCUACGGGAGGCAGCAGUGGGGAAUAUUGCACAAUGGGGGAAACCCUGAUGCAGCGACGCCGCGUGAAGGAAGAAGUAUCUCGGUAUGUAAACUUCUAUCAGCAGGGAAGAAAAUGACGGU
This 447-nucleotide ribosomal RNA is filed under the name uncultured bacterium. RNAcentral describes it as "bacterial SSU rRNA". It matches the Rfam family "Bacterial small subunit ribosomal RNA", at positions 28 to 458 of the family's 1533-position model. The record is from RNAcentral.